This is a small nucleolar RNA of Ornithorhynchus anatinus (platypus), 138 nucleotides long. Lineage: Eukaryota; Metazoa; Chordata; Mammalia; Monotremata; Ornithorhynchidae. The record is from RefSeq and is a predicted model, not a curated record.
CCCCUCUCAGAGUCGCACCUGGAGAGCUUCCAGUACUCUACCAGUCUCGGUUACGGGAGGGAGAGUCGAGCAGAGGCAUACUCAUUCCAUUCCUAGCUUGGCCAGUGGCUAGCGAGCGGAAGGCAAUCUGCUACAAGG